UACGUAGGGGGCGAGCGUUGUCCGGAUUCAUUGGGCGUAAAGCGCUUUAAGGCGGUUCGCUAAGUCGGGUGUGAAACCUCCAGGCUCAACCUGGAGACGCCACUCGAUACUGGCGUGACUAGAGUUCGGUAGGGGACCACGGAAUUCCUGGUGUAGCGGUGGAAAUGCGCAGAUAUCAGGAGGAACACCAGUGGCGAAGGCGGUGGUCUGGGCCGAUACUGACGCUGAGGAGCGAAAGCGUGGGGAGCGAACAGG
Molecule: ribosomal RNA, 255 nt
Filed under: uncultured bacterium
Lineage: Bacteria
Description: partial 16S ribosomal RNA
Rfam family: Bacterial small subunit ribosomal RNA
Source: RNAcentral